This 394-nucleotide ribosomal RNA is filed under the name Demospongiae sp. GW6149. Its description in RNAcentral is "eukaryotic LSU rRNA". The record is from RNAcentral. Lineage: Eukaryota; Metazoa; Porifera; Demospongiae.
ACGAAUGCAGCUAAAUCAGCUCUGUUUCAGGCUCAGGAGGAUUGUUGGUUUGCGAUGCCGGGCUUCACAAAAGCCGAUAGGUUUUGAUUCCCGGAUAGUGGCCGACUCCUCUGCAUUCCUGAGCGUGAGCUAGCCAACAACGGUUGCACGUGGCUGAUAAGGGCAUUUGGGUAGGUAGUUCCCCUUCCCGGGGAAAACAUAUAGCCAUCUGUCUGGAAGUCUGCGGGUGACUGAGGAGAACUGACAGUGUAGGCCCUCUGGGUUUGGGCUGCUUCUGGUUGUUUGGGCACCGCGCUUGGGACUGCUUGCAGUGUCAUGUGACGGCUGUCUUCUCGAACUGGAGACCAGUCACACCUUACACUGUAGUUGUUGGUGUUCAAAUGGCUGCAUCCGA